GCACAAGCAGCGGAGCGUGUGGUUUAAUUCGAUGCUACACGAAGAACCUUACCAGGGUUUGACAUACAAGUAGUAGGGAAAGGAAACUGGACCGACCCUUCGGGGAGCUUGAACAGGUGCUGCAUGGCUGUCGUCAGCUCGUGUCGUGAGAUGUUCGGUUAAGUCCGCUAACGAGCGCAACCCUCGCUGUGUGUUACAAGUGUCACACGGAACUGCCGGUCAUAAACCGGAGGAAGGUGGGGAUGACGUCAAGUCAGCAUGGCCUUUAUAUCCUGGGCUACACACACGCUACAAUGGGAAGGGACAAUAGGUUGCGAAACCGCGAGGUGGAGCCAAUCCAGCAAAACUUCCCUCAGUUUAGAUUGCAGGCUGCAACUCGCCUGCAUGAAGUUGGAGUUGCUAGUAAACGCAGGUCAGCCAUACUGCGUUGAAUACGUUCCCGGGGCUU
RNAcentral lists this ribosomal RNA (448 nucleotides) under uncultured Levilinea sp. RNAcentral describes it as "bacterial SSU rRNA". It matches the Rfam family "Bacterial small subunit ribosomal RNA", at positions 923 to 1382 of the family's 1533-position model. The record is from RNAcentral. Lineage: Bacteria; Bacillati; Chloroflexota; Anaerolineae; Anaerolineales; Anaerolineaceae.